CCAGAGGCGGCCUCACCGGACUCCAUUCCCAGAAGUCGCCGCGGGGCUCUGUUUCUGGCCAGUCUUUUUCAUUCCUGCCGCCAGGUUUGUGAUACACACACGCUCAGGGAUUGUAUUUCCCAGAGACGCUUCCGCCUGUGCUUGCUCCCAGAAUAUAUUAUCCAUCGUAUUUUUUUGUUGCAUACGUCUUUAAAGUCCACCAGAAUCCAACGAUACCGAGCUUCGGGGACAGGAAGCGACUUAGCCGCGAGGGAUCCUGGGAACGCUGGGUUUACGCAGGCGCCUAUCUUCGCUGGCGCUAGGUACCAGGUUUCCCCUCCGCGGUUCGCUGCGCGCGGUACGCCUGUCCCUGCUUGGCUUCCAUUCAGGUGCCUAAGAACAGAGCUCCAAAGUACCUGACAAAGGCCAACGAACUACAGAGCUGGACUAUGCACAUGCAGAGGUGAGAUUCCAACACCCUCUCUCAGUAAUCGACAGAACCAGUGGACAGAAAACCUGGAUUUAGAAGACAUGAUAGUUAAUUUUAUGUGUCAACCUGACAGGCUGGAGUGCAGUGGU
This is a long non-coding RNA of Piliocolobus tephrosceles (Ugandan red Colobus), 558 nucleotides long. RefSeq lists it as uncharacterized. NCBI's taxonomy places the organism in Eukaryota, Metazoa, Chordata, Mammalia, Primates, Cercopithecidae. The transcript is spliced from 3 exons. The record is from RefSeq and is a predicted model, not a curated record.